GACGAACGCUGGCGGCGUGCUUAACACAUGCAAGUCGAACGGAAAGGCCCUGCUUGCAGGGUACUCGAGUGGCGAACGGGUGAGUAACACGUGGGUGAUCUGCCCUGCACUUCGGGAUAAGCUUGGGAAACUGGGUCUAAUACCGGAUAGGAGCCAUCUUUAGUGUGGUGGUUGGAAAGUUUUUUCGGUGUAGGAUGAGCUCGCGGCCUAUCAGCUUGUUGGUGGGGUAAUGGCCUACCAAGGCGGCGACGGGUAGCCGGCCUGAGAGGGUGUACGGCCACAUUGGGACUGAGAUACGGCCCAGACUCCUACGGGAGGCAGCAAUGGGGAAUAUUGCACAAUGGGGGCAAGCCGGAUGCAGCGACGCCGCGUGGGGGAUGAAGGCCUUCGGGUUGUAAACUCCUUUCGCUAGGGACGAAGCUUUUUUGUGACGGUACCUAGAUAAGAAGCACCGGCUAACUACGUG
Molecule: ribosomal RNA, 466 nt
Filed under: uncultured bacterium
Lineage: Bacteria
Description: partial 16S ribosomal RNA
Rfam family: Bacterial small subunit ribosomal RNA
Source: RNAcentral